UUUAAUUUUUUUAUUUUCACAUGUGAAUAUCCAGCCUGGCAUAAAUUAGAAAUUAGGGUUCUAUGAAGGAAAUCCAUCCCUAUCCCAAAUCCAUCCCUCUCUUCAUCUUCGUGAAAUCCAUCCCUCUCUUCAUCUUCGUGACGAGAAAGAGAGGAUACUGGAAAAAUAUAAUCAUCUUUUCAUAGAGGAAGGACCAAGACCAACCAGGAAAGGUGGAAGGAAAUCGAGUGCAAAAAAGAAUAAAGAGCAGUCUAAUGAAUCUAAAAAGGACUCUGAGGAAAAGUAGUGGUAAGGACGUGAAUCCUUAAAUCAAGCUUCCAUGAUUUUCAGCAGGAUGUAGAUUUAAUUGUUAUAUUGGUUUUAACAGCAUGAGCCAAUUUUGGGCAGAGGAUAAUACAAACAUUUGUUUCGUUUUUUCCCGAGCUUGUAAUAGAAGCAAAACACCAUGCACCCGAUCCAUAUGUACGUAUCAAGGACAGUAUACUUGAAAUUUGACUAUUCAUCAAGUGUUCAAUGUGCAGAAUGUUACUUGUCUUAUGGGCAGAACAAGAACUUCAUUAACUGAUAUUACAGAUUAAGUGUAUUCUUUGAUACCUUAGGUUGUACUCUAUGGUGAUGUUAUAGACCAAAGUUUCUUUGCUCAAUUAUUAUGCAGGUUAUGCAUGUAGAUUUACAAUUCAAUGUUCCAAACCAAAUCUCAACAGCAAAGCUGUUCCAAGUUUGUUAGACAGUUUAUAGCUCUUGAAAACAAGUAUGUUAGCUAUUGUGUGUGAACAUUUACUCACUUAAUAUUCAUUGCAAAUAAACAGUUUCACAUCCUA
Molecule: long non-coding RNA, 821 nt
Organism: Lathyrus oleraceus (garden pea)
Lineage: Eukaryota; Viridiplantae; Streptophyta; Magnoliopsida; Fabales; Fabaceae
Exons: 2
Source: RefSeq, a predicted model, not a curated record